RNAcentral lists this long non-coding RNA (217 nucleotides) under Elaeis guineensis (African oil palm). Its description in RNAcentral is "long non-coding RNA (EGUI_LNC037651)". Lineage: Eukaryota; Viridiplantae; Streptophyta; Magnoliopsida; Arecales; Arecaceae. The record is from RNAcentral.
CAACAAAUCAAAUAACAGAAGCAAUUGGCAAUAAUAUAAAGAUUGUCAAUUCUCUAUGUGGAUGAGUAUCGCAAAGACUACUAUUUUUCAGUAAAUUAAAAAAGUUGGAGCAUUACUUGAGAUUUGUUCAUGUCAUUGAGUGAGAUGUUCGAUGCCAAUUAGCUUUAAACCCAACCUCAUCCAAUCAAAGAUCUCAAAACAGUUUGCAUGUUGUCCC